This 667-nucleotide long non-coding RNA is filed under the name Neodiprion lecontei (redheaded pine sawfly). RNAcentral describes it as "uncharacterized LOC124294853". Lineage: Eukaryota; Metazoa; Arthropoda; Insecta; Hymenoptera; Diprionidae. The record is from RNAcentral.
AAAAAAAAAAAAAAAAUUGAAAAUAGUUAGACGCACGGUAAGAGAAGCGUAAGCGCAAUGCAGCUUGUGGAAAUUUCUCUUAUUAGCGGCGAGAGCCGAGGAAAGGGAAGAGAAAACGUCGCGUUGCACCUUUUAAACCCCUGACAACGUCGGAUAUACACAAGGUGUACAUACCGCACGACGUAUCGGAAGACGGGGAUUGGAAGCCCCGUGUAUAAUGCAUUCCAGCCAGCAUAACGAAGAUUGAAAUUGUUCGAAAAUAGGAUCAAGAUUGAUCUCAACCAUCGGACAUUUACAGGGUAGCCGAUAUCGCUGAGUGAUAUAAGGUAUAUGUAAGCUGAGCGAUAUGCAGUCGCGGAAUCACAGCGUUGUGCUAAAAAUUUCAUCCAACGACGAAGACGACGAUGCGGAUAUGCUCCAAUAUCCAUGCGCAGACUUUUAUCGAACGAGGAAGAAUUUUCAACCUGACGAAAAUUUCAUGCAGAUGUAAAAAGGAUUGAUUAACGCGAGAUAAUGUGGAUCGAAUAAUCGUGUGCGAUUAUACACGAUAUAUAAGUAUAUAAUAAAUACUUAAACCUUGUUGUAUCGUAAUUAUGUACAUAUUAUUACGGCGAUGAUGUAUUAUAAUAGGCAGCAGAGAUUAAAGUGAUACGACAAAGAGCGUUCG